AUUGAACGCUGGCGGCAGGCCUAACACGUGCAAGUCGAACGGUAACAGGAAACAGCUUGCUGUUUCGCUGACGAGUGGCGGACGGGUGAGUAAUGUCUGGGAAACUGCCUGAUGGAGGGGGAUAACUACUGGAAACGGUAGCUAAUACCGCAUAACGUCGCAAGACCAAAGAGGGGGACCUUCGGGCCUCUUGCCAUCGGAUGUGCCCAGAUGGGAUUAGCUAGUAGGUGGGGUAACGGCUCACCUAGGCGACGAUCCCUAGCUGGUCUGAGAGGAUGACAAGCCACACUGGAACUGAGACACGGUCCAGACUCCUACGGGAGGCAGCAGUGGGGAAUAUUGCACAAUGGGCGCAAGCCUGAUGCAGCCAUGCCGCGUGUAUGAAGAAGGCCUUCGGGCUGUAAAGUACUUUCAGCGGGGAGGAAGGGAGUAAAGUUAAUACCUUUACUCAUUGACGUUACCCGCAGAAGAAGCACCGGCUAACUCCGUG
RNAcentral lists this ribosomal RNA (490 nucleotides) under uncultured bacterium. Its description in RNAcentral is "partial 16S ribosomal RNA". It matches the Rfam family "Bacterial small subunit ribosomal RNA", at positions 30 to 507 of the family's 1533-position model. The record is from RNAcentral.